CUGGCCCGGGAAGGCUAUGAAACAGGCAACAUGGACAAUUUAAAGGUGUACAACAUCCGAGGUUCCAUUUCACCCUCAGGCAGCACGGAGUGGACAAGGUAAGGCCACCCUCCACUUUUCUUCUGGCUACUAUAUUGAUUCUCUGGAAACUCUCUCUGCUCCAAAAGAAACCACCCAAUCCCAUGGAGAAAAGGUGACACUGAAUUUGCACUGCUUUUUAUGGUUGCAUUUGUUUGACUAAGAGGGAGCAGAGUUCCAUACAACAGACUGCUUUAGUUGGGUGACUUGAAAAUAACACAUACCAGAUUAGUUCUCCAGAUGCAGAUUAGUACUAAGUUUGAAUCCUUUCUUUUAAAUUAAUUAAUGUAAUCUCAAUGUUUACAUAAUAGACAUUGACUUUUAUCUGGCACAUACAGUAUAUGACUCUGCCUUUAGCAAAAAUACCAUUCAAGCUAUCUUUAGCAGAUGUGAAUGUUUUAUUUUUAUUUUGGGGACUCCAAAGAGAGUCCAUAACCUACCUUGGCAUUGUCAGAUCUCAAAAAAAGCUUUCUUCAUACUUGCAAUAUAGUAAUAUCUAAGUACUUGGACAUCUCUGCACAAAAUAUAUGGGUCCACAUCUCCCUGUUUUUCCAUAUACUAUUCCCUCUGCAACCUUGUUCACAUAGCAAACUCUAAUUUAUUCUUCAAUAGGCAGCCUAUGCCACCUUCCCUCAACUAUCCCAGACCAGUAGUCAUCACUGCCUCCUCUACCCCUUGUACAUUUCUCUAUGUGGUCUCACCAGAGAAGUACUAUGUUUGCUCAUAUGUCUGGUCUCACCAGACAGUACCAUGUUUGCUCAACUCAAAGUUCCUUGAGGAAAUAAUUGUAUUUGUAUCUCCAGUGCCUUGCAUAUUUUGUAUCACAUAAUGAGUUCUAUAAAAGAGAACUAAACUGAUGUGGCUAUGAAAUGAUUUACAGCUUUUAACUGGAAUGAGCCUAGUACAAGACUCACUUAGAUGCUGGUGGUUGAUCCUAAGUUUCUCAUGCUGUUAUCUGCAAUCAUUUGCUCUUGCUCUACAUUCAGAAGAGAAAGAAAAACUGGUGACACUAAUCUGGCCUCUAUAUCAUAAUUAGACCAGGGGUAGGAUCUGAGAAACUAGAAAAUAUUUAGCCUACCCCUAGUCACAUCCUAAAAGACAUCAAUGUGGAACUCAAGGAACUCAGUGGAUUUACCAACAUUUAUCAUACCCUAUAUCCACCCAUUAUAACUACUUGAAUUGUCAUGGAUGGGAACAGAAGAUAGAUUUUAUUGUGGAGAACAGAAUAAAUCUAAUAAAAGAAAUAACUAGAGGAAAAGUUGGGGCUAGUUGACGUUUUUAAGUAGAGAUGGGAAAAACAUAAAUGAUGGUGGUCAGCACAGAAAGUUUUGAAUAUAAGGACUUUAGAAAUCAAUGUGGUCACUCUUUUCUAGUAAUAGGCUGACCAUGGACAAAAAUAAUAGGAACAUUAUUCCCUAGUUCCUUUGCAAUGUACUGUACUGUUAUUUAAGCAUCCCAGCAUCAUGCUUGCUUUGAUAAAUACAAAUCUAGCUCAAUUGCCAUGAUUCUGCUUUGAGGCUCUCUCUUUUUUAAUGAUUUAUAUGUCAUGCUCCCCAAAAGUCUUUCUAAAAUUAUACCAAAGGGAAAGAAGCAAAAAAAGGGGAGCUUAAAUGUUCUGAGGAGCUGUUAGAUGUGCCUGGUGCUUGCUAUGCACUUCUUUUUGAGACAGAGUCUCCCUCUAUUGCCCAGGCUGGAGUGCAGUGGCGUGAUCUCAGCUCACUGCAACCUCCGCCUCCAGGGUUCAAGGGAUCAUCCCACCUCGGCCUCCUACUAGAUGGAAAUACAGGCCUGAGCCACCACAACCAGCUUGCUAUGCACUUUAUAUACACCAUCUAUAUGUAUACCACCCUCCCAACAACUCCACUUGGUAGGAAUAAUUAUUCUCAUUUUAAAUCAGUUUUAACCUAGGUGUCUCUGGUUCUAGAUCUAGUAUUUUUUCUACAAAUAAUACGGUUCCAAUUUCUUUCUUUUCUUUCUUUUUGUAGAGAUGGGGUCUCACUUUGUCACCCAGGCUGGGCUCAAACUCUUGGCUUCAAGCGAUCUUCUCGCCUUGGUCUCCCAAAGUGCUGGGAUUACAGGCUUGAACUACUGUACUCGACUGACUUUUCCUAUUUCUAAUGUCAGCAUGAAGAACACAAGAAGUCAGCUUCAAAGAGUCUAGAAGAGCAAACAUUCACUUUGCAGCCUCCCUUGUACCAAGGAGUGGCCAUGAGACAAUUCUGCCCAAUGAAUCAGAAGAGGAAUUGUGUUGAGGAUUUCUGGAAAGACUACUUCUUUUCCCAAGAAAAAGUGACAGACGCAGUAGGGGCUGAGCAACUUCCGUGCCUCUUCCAGCCUUACGGAUGUGCUGUUGGUAGCUGUGACUGCCUUGCUACUACGAGGAAAAGGAAGGCCAAGAGAAUAGCAGAGACACUCGCUCUGAUGCCUUUGAGCCAAUGAAUCAAUGCCAGAAGCAGCUGACCUCCAGAGUUCUUGUUACAGGAUUAAAAUAAAUCUCUACUUAUUUGCCAUUGUCA
RNAcentral lists this long non-coding RNA (2594 nucleotides) under Homo sapiens (human). RNAcentral's name for it is "HSALNT0369867". Lineage: Eukaryota; Metazoa; Chordata; Mammalia; Primates; Hominidae. The record is from RNAcentral.